CGAGCGGGCUUCCGCCGGCUGGCUGCGACGGCGCGGUAGAGGCGAGCGUAGAGCACCACGGUGGCUGUCAGCGCCAGCAGAGACGCCGCCAGGCAGAAGGCCACGUAGCUGCGCGCGUAGAGUGGGAGCAGCGUGGAGCACUCGCUCACAUGCCCCAUGCAGUUCCAGCCAAGGCUGGGCAGCACCGCCACCAGGACUGCCACGGCCCAGCAUGCCCCCACGGUCGACUCGACCUGAAAUGAGGUCUGGAUACAGUGUGUCAAUAUCAGCGCUUGGGAGACAAAGGUGGCCUGGCGUGGUGCUGGUCACAUCACCCCCUUGUGCGCCAUGCCGGACUUAAUAGAUCCCACAGCUGUUGCAAAGUCACCUGAACUCGAUGGUCUGUGCUUCAGGUCGUCCCCUUGUUACAACAUGGGUCGACACGUCCUUUAAGUGUAUCACCUCGAGAAGAUUUUCUGGAAUUCGACUGAGAUCUUGAACAUAUUCCUGACAUGCGUAGCACAAGAAGUGCUGUACACACACACAUACAUGCACACAUGAAUCAAUAUACACUCACACGUACACACAACAACACCUGUCAUUGACGUCGCCACGGCACUUGUGCCAGGCCAGAUGCACUUUGAGGCCACGUACACACAGGCACAUUCACACAUCCAUACAAGAAUAAAAUUGACUUGACUCCAUACGCAUACGUACAAACAUUCUCACACACUGUGCAUUAAUACAACGAACCCACCUCCUUGCAUGGUGCCUUAACCUAUUUUCAUUGACCCAGUUCUUUUCUGACCUCUUUACUAUUACACCAGAAACCCCGUUGACCUAGCCAGAAACUCACUUCUUAUCCUUGCAAUGCUGACCUAUUUCCCCACUUGGAUACACUGACUACUUGACCCAGUUGUUGACUCAUUGAACCACUGAACCAGCUAUUAUCGACAUACUGGCCGCUUGACCCAAUGACACUCCUUCUUGGCUCAGUUGCUGCCUUACCAAACUUCCCACUGAUAGUCUGACCCCUUGAAUAUAAGCUCUUGCCCCACUUAUAUAUUGAUCCACCGACUUACCUCUCCAUCUAGAUAUUUACUCUUUACCCCGCUGAACUAUUCACUCACCGACCACCUGGCCCCAUUCGCUGACCGAUUGACCCACUGACCCGCACG
Molecule: long non-coding RNA, 1157 nt
Organism: Lethenteron reissneri (Far Eastern brook lamprey)
Lineage: Eukaryota; Metazoa; Chordata; Hyperoartia; Petromyzontiformes; Petromyzontidae
Source: RefSeq, a predicted model, not a curated record